CAGCAGCCGCGGGAAUACGGAGGGAGCUAGCGUUGUUCGGAAUUACUGGGCGUAAAGCGCGCGUAGGCGGUUACUCAAGUCAGAGGUGAAAGCCCGGGGCUCAACCCCGGAACUGCCUUUGAAACUAGGUGACUAGAAUCUUGGAGAGGUCAGUGGAAUUCCGAGUGUAGAGGUGAAAUUCGUAGAUAUUCGGAAGAACACCAGUGGCGAAGGCGACUGACUGGACAAGUAUUGACGCUGAGGUGCGAAAGCGUGGAGAGCAAACAGGAUUAGAUACCCGCGUAGUCCCUGUCUCUUAUAC
This 301-nucleotide ribosomal RNA is filed under the name uncultured bacterium. Its description in RNAcentral is "partial 16S ribosomal RNA". It matches the Rfam family "Bacterial small subunit ribosomal RNA", at positions 509 to 807 of the family's 1533-position model. The record is from RNAcentral.